RNAcentral lists this microRNA precursor (94 nucleotides) under Tursiops truncatus (common bottlenose dolphin). Its description in RNAcentral is "miRNA (ENSTTRG00000022896.1)". Lineage: Eukaryota; Metazoa; Chordata; Mammalia; Artiodactyla; Delphinidae. The record is from RNAcentral.
AUGUCUUCUACUAUGUAUGUGUGUGUAUAUAUACGUAUAUACACACACACACACACACACACACACACACACACACACACACACACACACAUAU